UUGCUUUAGCAGCACGUAUACUAAAAUUGGAGCAAUACAAAGAAGAUUAGCAUGGCCUCUGCACAAGGAUGACACACAUAAUACAGUCGUUUCAGCCAUUAAA
Molecule: small nuclear RNA, 103 nt
Organism: Suncus etruscus (white-toothed pygmy shrew)
Lineage: Eukaryota; Metazoa; Chordata; Mammalia; Eulipotyphla; Soricidae
Source: RefSeq, a predicted model, not a curated record